This 377-nucleotide ribosomal RNA is filed under the name uncultured bacterium. RNAcentral describes it as "bacterial SSU rRNA". It matches the Rfam family "Bacterial small subunit ribosomal RNA", at positions 523 to 898 of the family's 1533-position model. The record is from RNAcentral.
AAACGUAGGAGACGAGCGUUAUCCGGAUUUAUUGGGCGUAAAGCGCGUGCAGGCGGUUUGGAAAGUUGGAUGUGAAAGCUCCUGGCUUAACUGGGAGAGGUCGUUCAAAACUACCAGACUAGAGAAUGGGAGAGGGAAGUGGAAUUCCGGGUGUAGUGGUGAAAUGCGUAGAUAUCCGGAGGAACACCAGUGGCGAAAGCGGCUUCCUGGACCAUUUCUGACGCUAAGACGCGAAAGCUAGGGGAGCGAACGGGAUUAGAGACCCCGGUAGUCCUAGCUGUAAACGAUGUAGACUUGGCGUUGGCGGAGUUAAAUCUGCCAGUGCCGGAGCUAACGCGUUAAGUCUACCGCCUGGGGACUACGACCGCAAGGUUAAA